GUGGUGCAUGGUUGUCGUCAGCUCGUGUCGUGAGAAGUUGGGUUAAGUCCCGCAACGAGCGCAACCCUUGUCUUUAGUUGCCAUCAUUAAGUUGGGCACUCUAGAGAGACUGCCAGGGAUAACCUGGCGGAAGGUGGGGAUGACGUCAAAUCAUCAUGCCCCUUAUGCUUAGGGCUCCACACGUGCUACAAUGGGUAGUACAGAGGGUUGCAAAGCCGUAAGGUGGAGCUAAACCCUUAAAGCUACUCUCCGUUCGGAUUGUAGGCUGAAACUCGCCUACAUGAAGCUGGAGUUACUAGUAAUCGCAGAUCAGAAUGCUGCGG
This 323-nucleotide ribosomal RNA is filed under the name Clostridioides difficile. RNAcentral describes it as "bacterial SSU rRNA". It matches the Rfam family "Bacterial small subunit ribosomal RNA", at positions 1038 to 1362 of the family's 1533-position model. Lineage: Bacteria; Bacillati; Bacillota; Clostridia; Peptostreptococcales; Peptostreptococcaceae. The record is from RNAcentral.